Corticium candelabrum is the source of this 906-nucleotide long non-coding RNA. RefSeq lists it as uncharacterized. The transcript has 4 exons. The record is from RefSeq and is a predicted model, not a curated record. NCBI's taxonomy places the organism in Eukaryota, Metazoa, Porifera, Homoscleromorpha, Homosclerophorida, Plakinidae.
GACCAUGGUCAACCGCCCUCUUCCACACGACCAAUUCAAGUAUGUGAAGUGCAAGUUUAGUAAUUAGUGAAUGUGGAAAUCCUCCAUUAGUUCGUUUUGCUCCACGUGUAUUUCACUCAUUAUUUAUCAACUCUACAGCGACGUACAUUUGGAUGCCAGGCUACUUUCCAAAUACUCCUCAGACUAUUAAGUGUCUCAUUCACGGCAACUGGUCAUUGCCAUUACCUUCCUGUGCAUCAGGUAAAAGAACAAAAAUUUACUGCAUUCAUCUUCAUGUUGUUCUGAGUAGUUGGUUCAUGUGACAUCCCAUAAGAAAGAUUAAAUCACGCAUUCACUAAACUGUCGAACGAUACACGACAACCAAUCGCUAGCAAAGUUUAUUAUAUAUGCGAUAAUGGUUAUGAGAAACAAGGCAAAAACGAACUAAUUUGCAAUUCAAAAACCGAAUGGGAAGAACAAAUCAUUUGCAAUGAAUUACAAUGCAGUCAGAUGCCUCAUGUAGAAAAUGAAAUUGUCAAUGGAAAUAGAUACAAUGCAACAUUUUCAUGUCUUUAUGGGUAUCGACUACUAAACAGAGUCAGUGCAUACUGUGGAAAAACAGUACGCGCAGAUAUCCUAAUCAGAGACCCAAAUGUCAAGUUAUGCGGUGCGCAAACCUCAAAUCAGUGUUAAAUGGGAAAGAACAAACGUUUGAUCUGACGGUGAACAGCACUAUGCACUAUGCUUGUAAGACAGUAUACCUAAGAAAGGGCAUCAAGUCACGAACAUGUCGUGCCAACGAGAUCCCUGCCAAUUGGGACCCCCUUGAGCACAUAAGUACUGUCUCGUGCAAAGGUUUGACUCUACUAGAAAGUACCGUUUUCUAUAAUUUUAUAUAUUUUUAGCAAAAUAUUAAUUAUUUGUCAG